This 254-nucleotide ribosomal RNA is filed under the name uncultured bacterium. RNAcentral's name for it is "partial 16S ribosomal RNA". It matches the Rfam family "Bacterial small subunit ribosomal RNA", at positions 524 to 776 of the family's 1533-position model. The record is from RNAcentral.
CACGUAGGGGGCGAGCGUUGUCCGGAUUUAUUGGGCGUAAAGAGCUCGUAGGCGGCUCGGUAAGUCGGGUGUGAAAACUCGGGGCUCAACCCCGAGACGCCACUCGAUACUGCUGUGGCUUGAGUCCGGUAGGGGAGCGUGGAAUUCCUGGUGUAGCGGUGAAAUGCGCAGAUAUCAGGAGGAACACCAGUAGCGAAGGCGGCUCGCUGGGCCACACCUGACGCUGAGACGCGAAAGCUAGGGGAGCGAACAGG